AGAUGAUAUUCCUGAAAUUGACAAUUUCCACGUAAAACAAAGUCAAACGAACAUCAAAAAAUACUUUUACUUCAACAUUUUCCACGUGAAAAAUUUAUACAAUCAAACACAAUAAUUUACAAUUUCCAUGAAAACAAUUUCUAGGUAAUUCAAUUCCUUGGAAUUCAUUUUCUUUCCAUGUAAUUUUCCUACUUGUAAUCAAACGCACCCUAAUUGUUGGCUUUAAUUUAAUUUUUAAACAAAAUUUUAAGCCACACCAAACAAGGGCUAAAGAGAUGAAGUUUGUACUUCAAAUUAACUUACACAACUUUCAAAUAUGAAAAUACAACUUUAAAGAGUUUUAAGCUAGCAAGUUAUCCAAUUGAUAAUAUGUCAACAACCGAAAAGUUACAUAAUGCGUCAACUUUCAAUGUUGUUAUCACCGAGCAUCUCGAACUUAGUCCAGUAAGCAUGUUCACUUGGAAGAUACAGGGAGUAAGCUUGUCGUCUUACAAUAUUAUGUUAUACGCUCACUGACCUUAAAAGUAGAGUCGACGCAUUGGAGACUAGUAAUGAAGAAACACCACGAAUUUCAGUGUCGGUGGCAGAUAUAUCUCAAAUUCCAUGUGUAGCGUACAACAUAGUCUCGUAUGAUCCCAGCAAGAUGUCAAAAUUUCAAAAUAAAUGGCAAUAUCUUCCAACUCUGUAACUCGAGUUCUUCCAACUUCAAUGACUCCAUAGCUUGGUACAAAAGCAGUAGCAAUCAGUACCAGAAACGUAUAAAUUUGCAAAGGGUACUUCCAAUUAUUCACUAUAACAGAGAUCAUGUCCUCUUCACUUUUCUCCUUGAAUAAGCUCCCUUACCGGUUGUCGGAAUUCUAGCAGCAGCAGCAGCAGCAUAACAUCUCAGUUUCUCGAGGAUUUUCCUCUCACUGAUACGUAACAUCAAGGAAUGAUAUAAUUUAAACUCAGUUGCGCGGCAACACCCACACAAUGAUUUAAUGUCAUCAUCCAGAGAACUAAGACCAUACAAAGCUUCCCGGGAAUCUGCCAGCGACAAAAGAGCUUCACAAACAUCUUUAGUUGGCAAUAAAUUAUUGCUCAUUGAUCCUUUCACAAACAGAAUGUUCCCUUUUCCUGCGAAACAGAGGCUUGGAGAUUUGUUGAGAUUUCCCACAGCCGAUAAUGCAAGAUCAAUUUCAUGAUAUUCCUCCUCAGGUAACAACAUUAUGUAAAGUAAAACCAACAAGUCAACUUCUGGUUCCCCAUCAAAUGAGAUUUCAAAAUAUUCGGUGUUUUCACUAAAACAUCCAGAAUAGUCCAAUUUUCUCCACAGUGAUAACCUUCGUCUACUGUGGCGACAUGAAAAUAAAGAUGAACUCCACUGAAGGACAAGUUCUAGAUCUAUAUUGACAAUGUCAAAUGGGUUAUCGGGUUCUGUGAAGCCGUAUCUGUGCAGAAGUGCAGCAUUACCCAAGGAUCCAUAUGUGUUAAAAACUUGAAAAGAUUGCAAUGGAAAGAGGCAUCAAUAAACCAUAAGUGUUUACAAAAAGUAGACAACUUUGCAUCAGUCACACAAAAACAAAAUACAUGAUUGCAAAUAAUUCCAGAAAAAAUUUCAUGGAUUAAAUUAUAUGGGGUUAAAUCUAAGAAGUAAGAAGCACCAAUACAGGCACGCAAUUUUUUUGGAUACGUCAUCGACACAUUGAUUAAAAUAUUAUAUUUUUAAUUUUUCCUUUUUAACAGUCUAGAGUAAUAAUUAGGAUUCCUUUACAAGUUUGAUUUAUAAUAGGAGCUCUAGUUCUCCUGAUAGUAGCUCUUCCGCUAGCAAUCACUCUUCUGCUUUUCUUAAAUCUUUCUUUUGGCUUGCUUUUAGUUCUGACUUUCACGUUACCAUUAAGGGCGGGCUAUCAUGUAUCAUUCCCGAACGCAAUGGCUCCCCGUUAAGGCUCCAAAUGUAGCAUUUUCGACAGCGGCUAUCCCGAGCUAGCCAUCAAUCGUUGUCAGCCUCCCUUACCCCACAACCCUCACUGAAAUUCAAUUCAAUGAAAGGCAGACCCCAUAGAAGUAAGCUUGAGCUAGCUUAGCGAAGACUUCUCAAAUACUCUCCAGCCAAACCACAGAGAGAUUGGAGGUAAAAUGGGAAAUUAUAGUGGUAAAAGGUUUGCCUCCUUUUUAGAUUUAGAAAACCUCUCUUUUAUUUUUGAAUUGGGGGUAAAAGAGUAAUUCACUUGUUAAGAAAUUAAGUCAAUUUGAUUUUUUUCCAUUAACUAUAUAUCCUAAACACGCCUCUUCACUUUUUCUUCAACAAAUUUGGGUUUACUGUCUUUAGUUUUUAAGGUUGUUGAUUGAAAUCCUAGUUCGAGUUCCCUUAAAGUCAUUGAAGUGAAUACUCGACUGUAAACUUCAGAACCUCGUAGGAUUUGUCAAGGUGCACGUAAACUGACUUGGACACCCACGGUCAUCGAAAAAAAAAAAAAAGUUGUUGACUGAAAUCGCAACCUGUUCAGUUAUUCUUCCAAGAAUUAGGAUUUAGCUUCUUCGGUUUCUUUAGCCACAUGACCGAAAUCCAAUCUAGCAGCCCAAAGUUUGUUGUUAGUUGUGCCUCGCCGCCUAUUUCACUGAAUAAACAUGCAUUCUUCAAUUCUUCUUCGCAAGUGACCUCAACCACGAGUCGGCAACGUGUUGGAGACGUAGCGGUGUUGGACAAUGAAAUGCCGACAGAGUGUCAGUGAUUCCCAAGGUAAAAUUAUUGUAACAUUCAAAAGCCUUAUGCUCACACUUCAUUUCCUCAGAAGCAUACUUCAGCAACGAGCUAUAUGUGCACAUAAAAGCAUAAUUCCAACUCAUGAUCAGGAAUGAAAUUUCUAGAAAGUGGAGCGAUAUUCAGGAGCUCUUGUUAGUAGCACAAUUUUUUUAGUAAAACUAACCAGAGAACCUAUAUAAAACUCUGGAAGUAAAAUUCUUUGAGCGACUGCUAGAAUUGUGUCCACAUCAAUAGGUGUUUUGGCAAGGCCGAGUUAAACUAGCUGCUAAGUCUAAACUACCUAUGAAAAGUUAAAUAGAGAAGAUGACCAUCUUGACAGAUACAACUCUCAAAAAAGACGGGGUCAAUCUAUCUCCAAGAACAAAACUCACGUUGUUAUACAAAAAUAUAACCAAGCAAAACAACAUUCUAAUAGCAGUUAUAACAAACUACCUUUAGCUGACAUAAAGAAAUAGAAGAAAAAAAAAUUAUUGGAAAAAAGAAGUCCAUACCUCAGCUCCAGCUUUAACAUCUUUAAUCAUGAUCAUCUCCAGAAAUGUUGGGUCAUCCCCUGAAGUCCAAGAAGACCCCAUAUCACCCCCACUAAAACCAUCCUUUUCAGAAUAAGAAUCUUGAGCCAUGGGUUCAUCAUCUCCAUCAAUUUCAUUAUCAAUAUCGCUGUUGUCAAUGUCAGAGUCAUUUUCUGAUUCAGAAUGAGAAGAUACGGCUGUGAAGUGAACAUCCUCAGCAGCUGUCUUGUGAUUAAAGCUGGACAUUGUAGAAUAUUUUAUUUGUUAAGAAUUGGACAAAACAAAACCAUUGCAAUAACAAAGAGGAACAGGACAGUUUUUUUUAAAAUUUUUAUGGCCUGCCAAUAACAUUUUUUUCUUUUUUUAAUAAAAAGAGGUAAUAUAAGAUCAACGGUUAUUCCUGCACUUGCGUAAAUGACAUGUAAUUCUAGAUGGCCGAUUCACAAAAGACAUGGAAACAGUUAAUCCACUAUGCCUUUACAUGCAAAUAAUCCACUAUGAUUCAGUGGAAGACUGGUCACGAUAACAGCAUACGGAUUCAUGGUGAACGAGCGCGAACUAGAGUUGAUGUUGUGUUUCAGAAUUCAUGGUUUCUUUCCAAACCCCUUUUUUCUUUUUAAAUUUUCAUAUUUGCAUACUGUAAUAGUAGGAAAACAGAAAUUAAAGUCUUCAACUCAAAUUACAGAACAUUUGAAAGGGAAUCAGCAUGAUGAACUUGCAAAUACUACCACAUCCAGGUGUUUGCUUGUUCAAGAGCAUUUAUUAUUGCUUAACAGAAAUACUACUCAUCAUUGAAUGGUGACCCCUUCUAACAAUUGCUCAACCUUGGUGAUUUAAACAGAGACUGCUAGUUUGGAACACAAUUCUGGAUAAGUCUAGACACAAAAUGAUGAAGAUUUUAGCUUUUUUUCCUUCCUUAAUAUUGUCCAUUACUAUCCAAUCCUCUUUACUAAGCACACCGAAAAAUUUAGCAUCUAUACCAUAACAAGAAAACAAGAACGAAAAAGAAAAAGCAUUGUCCAAAGUGAUAUCCAUUUGAUGCAUAAUAAUUCAUGUUAAAAGUUCUACCAAAUAUCUUGAAAUUACUGGAUUUUGUACAUUGGUCUUAAAAAAAUAAAAAAUAAUAAAUAGAAGUGGGAAGGCUUAGAUCUUUUGAAAAUAUGCAACAAAUAUUGUUUGUGGAUUGAAAAUCAAAGCAUAAACUGAAAUGAAAUGGGGGCAGGAGGGUUAAACUUGAGUCAACUACUACAACAAAUGACAGAUCAAUGUUGCAUUCUUAAUAAGCGCUCGUAUUAUCAUAUUAUGUACUCUUAUAAUUUCAGAAAAUACAUUUUUGAACUUCCUUAAGCUUUCAAAUAGUUCCAUGCUGUCGAUGAAGUUCAAAUGAGGAUUAAUUUUGAUAUAUGAAGUACUAAAGAUUACAUGGUGUUUAGCCCUGCCAGUAAAUUCCAUCUUAAAGUACAUUCAUGACCAAAAUUGUGAAAUUAUCAGCAGAAAACUACCCUUGCUGCCAUAUUAUGAAUACGAAGUUGCAAAUGUUUACAAGAUGAAGAUUUUCCAUUGCUCGUACAAGAGAUAUAUGGAAUAUGGAUAUUUCUCUACAAUGGUCCAUUGUGCUUUAUACGAACAAGGAAGUACAAUCAUGCAUUAAUUUGAUUGCUAAACAAAACAUUACUUUUCCGUUUCAUUUUAAUCCCAAUUUCCUUCAUUAAUAGCUAUUUGGACAUUUUUUUCAUGUAAAAAUAUUUUCCCUGUGCUAUGUGCAUGAUGUCGAGCUAGUUUCAAUAAAAUUACAAAAAUCACAAGAUCACGUAGAACUUACAGGUCUGCCAAAGGAACCAUCCCAAAUCCAUGGUAUUUGUCUAUCUCAAAAGACCGCGAAGAAAUCAGACUUCUUGCAGUAAAAUACUCUUGGAUGCUAAAAAAAUUCGGAUUAAGCUCCAAUAAAGCCGAACCAAGAAGCGGUUCAAUACACUCUUUCCAGUCUUCAUAGAACAGGGCUUUGUCUUCUUUAACUGUCUGCCUAACAAUUGCCCCAAAUACUCAAAUAUAAAUCUACAUAAAUAGGUGCACAUAGCCAGUGACUGUAACGUGUUUGGCUAAGCUUGAAAGCAAAUUACUUUUAAAUAGCUUUUUGCUUCAAUAUGUAUUUAUAUAAGUUACAUUAAAUAGAGGCGGAUUUUUNNNNNNNNNNNNNNNNNNNNNNNNNNNNNNNNNNUUUUUUUUGGGGGGGGGGGGGGGGGGGGGGGCUACCCCUCUCAGGCCCAAUAGCUUUUUUUAAGGUAUUUUUUAUUUUUUUUGGUAAAAAAUCAUUUUUUUAUGUGUAAAAAAAAUUUUUAGGCAUAGUAGCCCGGUUUGAAAUUUUGUAGCCCCGUCUUGAAUCAAAUCCUAAAUCCGCCCCAAUUUUACUUAUAAGUAUAAAGCACUUACUAACUGCAUCUUCGGUCCCUUAUAGAAGUAACUUCUUUCUUGCUUCUUUUCGGCUUAUUAGGACAGUAAGAGCAUGCCAAAAAGAAGCUCCAUUUCAUGCCUUGUAACUUAAUCUUGACUAAAAAAAGCUGAAUGUUUCUAAAACAAACUUAUUUACUUAUUAAGAAAUAACCAAUUAAGCUUAGCCAAACAUGAAACAUUCUUAAUAUUGGGUGAACGACAAUGGACUAACCUUGUGGAGCUCAGUUCCAGAGAGGAAAGAGUCAAUUUCAGGGAAGGACCAGAGCAUUGGAAUGGGCUCGAAGGGGGGCAAUAACUGGAGAUAUUGGAACCAGGGCGAUUGAGGGCCGAUGCUCUUCUCGUACAUUACAGCAAUGGAGAGGCCCAAAUUACCGCCGAGCUGGGACUCUUCGAUGAGUUGGUGGGCACCAGUCGUCUUGACGGUAAGGCAACUCUGCUUGGGAAUCCUCCCCACCACAUCGCCCAGGCGCAAAUCACACAAAGCUUCGACUGAGACAGAGAGUGAUUCUGCCGAUCCUUUGGCGAUUGCGAGAUGGAGUGCGUCGCUGCAUUCAAUGCCUUGACACUUCAUCCAUCGCUUGAAUGCUCUCAUUCUCCUAUUAUCAAUCGUUAUAUGUAAAUUUUACACUUAGUUAUAUUUUGUUAUAGAAGUAGAACAGUGUCGACGGAGGGUGAUUUACCUGGUGGCGGCCAUUGAGGUGGGUCGCGGAGGUGCAGCCCACGGUGAGUAGGCGGUGCAACGAAGUCUGUGUGACGGUCCAUUUGAGAGUUUUGAUAGCCAAUAUUGGGCCAAUUCGAGAGACACAGUGGAGCCCAAUUGUGCAAAUAAUAGUCCAAAGUACGGGCUGUUGUCGGGUUUAAAACAUGAGGAAAUUACAGGAUUCCAGGUAUUUAAAUAUGUGAGUGUAAAAAUAAGGUGCAAAAUUUUUUUAAUUAGAAAUCAGGUAUUAUUUAUACUCACACUACCUAAUCCAAACAAACCCUAAUCAUUUUUUCAUAUUCUCAGAUUUUUCAUAUCUUGCCUCCCCCAUCCCUCCCUCCUUCCAACCUCUAUCAUCAUUGAGGAGCACCGCCAUCGAAGACAUGAGAGUCGAGCGGAGGCAUAGUUGCUGCGGUGCGGCGCCCUCGCGGACGGUGUUGUGAGCAAUAUGGUUGGUCAAAGUUGUCACCCAGUCGAUCGGAGAUCCGCGGAGUCAGCGCUCACAGCUGUAUCAUUGUGGUUGCUCUGUGCGACUAGCUAGUCAACGACGAUGCAGCAGUGUCUCGAUGCGCAGAAGUGUGUAGAAGCAGGUUUGUUGGUGCGAUGUGAGUGGAAGUCGGUUUGUAUUGGUGGCAUGUGAUGUGAGUUCUAUGUUUGUGGAAGCUGAUUUUGUUGGUGCUAUGUGGGUGUUGUGGUGUGGUGCAGUGUGAUGAUGUCCGUAUUUUUUGCAGCGACGGUGUUGGUGGUAGAUUUGGCGACGACGAUGGUGUGGUUCAGACUGCGAUGAUGGUUUUUUUUGGUGUGUUUGGUGGUGGUGGUGGAUCUGGUUACAUCGAUUUUGUUGAUGUUGAUAUUGGUGUUGGUGGUGGCGAUGGUGGUGGCGACGAGGUAAGGGUGGUUGCAAGUGACUGUGGUGGUAGUGGAGUUGGUGGUGACCGACUAUUUGACUUGUGACUAAAAAAGGUAAAAUGUGACUAUCACAUUUGAAAAUAUGUGACCUGUGACUAUAAAUUUUUAGAUUUGUGAUUUAUAAUUUUUUAAUCUGUGACCUCGACAUAAUUUGUGACUUAUCAAAUUUGUGAUUUGUGACCUCGAAAAAAUUCGUGACCAAUUAACUUGAUGAUAUAUGAUCGAUAAAUAAAAUCUGUGACCUAUAAUUGUGAAUAUGUGACCAUAAAUAGUAUAAUUGUGGCUUUAUUAUCAUUAUUUAAUAAAUAUUUUUAAUUAAUUAGCUAAAACCUAAUUUUUGCACUAAAGAAACUUGUAACAUGAAUUUUGAAUUGGGCAUAGUUAACACUUGAUUUAUGAACUCUUCCCUUAAAAUAGUUCAUGGUAAUUUCAACAUAAUGUCUCGGGGAAAUUAGGCUUAAUCAAACUUUUUAUUUUUCAAAGUUCAAAAAUUAUGUCUUUGAAAAAUAUUUUCUCCUAUUUUGUUAACUAGAUUUUAAGGGCUUGUUUGUUAUCAACGCUUUUGUACUUAAGUGAUUUAACGUUUAAGAUAUUUAGGUAAGAAAAUCGAGAUGUUAAGAUUUUUCAUAUAAUUUUUUGGAAAGAAGUUGUAAUGUAAUGUCUCGAUCCGCCGAAACUUUUGUCUUGGUGGUUAAUUAACUAAAGAAAUAGGGUUAGCGAGUCUAUAUAUGAAUCUUGAUUUUGUAAAUAUUUAAUCAGCUAUGCUACCUGUAUAGGCCCAUUUGCACAGGCCUGUACAAGGGGUGUAACAUGGGGGUGGUUAGGGGGUGUCAGCAAAUGGGCCUGUACAGAGAGCUUUUUUCGUAUUUAAUUGGUGUACUCGUUUAAACAAACAUAAUCAAACUGAAGUAUUAAGAGGCGACUUGUAUAUGCAUGCUCCAAUUUUAAUUUAUUUUAGGUCAUAAUUGUGAUUAGAAUAUAAACAAGUUAACUUCAACUCUAAGCAAAUAAAGGACUAAAAAGUUCAUUGCUUGACACACAAUAAUACUAUCUCAGCAUGAUCAUCAUGAUAAAAUAAAAAAUUUCAAAAAUAAAUUUUUAGGCAAAGUUUUGAGAUCCCCAUAUUGUAUUCGCUGCAAAUGUAGUAGACAAUCGCUAUUUACAUGUGUAGAAUAGCAUAAGUGGAAAACUUUUUUAUUCCCUCUUUGGCACGAUUUCAUUUUGAGAAGUAAAAAAGUGGUAGUUUUUAAGAUUUUAUUUUGGUUUAUUAUACUAAUAUCUUAGUUUUCUUAUAUUGCAUCGUAUUUUAAUUGUACUAAAGGUCUUGUCUCAUUUAGUAAAUCGUUGCUUAUUGUAACACUUUGUGUUCCUAACUUUUUACGUUGGAUUGUCGUUUAACAUUUCAUUAAUUAGCACGAAUGAUAGUUGAUUAUGGUUUCUGUUCGAAUUUUAUGCUUGCGUGUUACAAGUGAUGGGCAACUAUUUUAUCACACACUUGUAUUUAUUAUUUUUUGAAAAUUAUGAAGGAUGAAUAAGUCUUUUUAUGAAUUUUAACUGAUUUUUUGGACAAAAAUUAUUAGGCCUUGUUUGAUUGGUUCGAACAAGGUUAACAAAUUCUAAGAAUUAUUGGCAAAAAAUAUUUUCUUUUAAUUGACAAUUCUUACGUAAAACAAAGUCAAAUUAACAUCUAAAGAUAGAUGGUUUUUUUUGUUUUUUAUUUUUUGCAAUGGAAGGAAACAAAUUUUAUUCCCAGUACCAAUAAACUCUAUCAUUUUAAUUGACAAUUCGUAUGUAAAACAAAGUCAAAUGAACACCAAAAGAUAGAUGGUUUUUUUGAUUUUUGAUUUUUUUAUUUUUUUUGCAUUGAAAGGAAACAAAUUUCAUCCCCAAUACUAAUAAAUUAUAUUCUUUUAAUUGACAAUUUUAUGUAAAACAAAGCAAAUGAAUACCAAAAAAAAAAAAAAAUUUUAUUUCAACAUUUUUUACGUGGAAAAUUAUAUCAAUCAAACACCAAUAAUUUACAAUUAUCAUGAAAACAAUUUUUUGACAAUUCAAUUCUUUGAAAUUUAUUUUCAAUUUUAUCUUUACAAUCAAAUGGCCCCUUAUUGAAAACAAAAUGCGCUAUUUAAUUGAAUGUUAAAUAUAAGAAUGAGAAGAAAAAAGUUGAAGAAAUAAAUAUGACAAUAACAGAGGUUGUAAACCUUUUUACCGCACCUAAAAAGUAGUCCAAUUAUUUCUAGUCCAACAAAAGAAAUAAUCAGUCUUCUACAUUUAGCUUUCAUAAUUAUCUAUCACAAAAAUUCCAAAUGUAACCUUAUGAAUUAAAUUAUUUUCUUUUCUGUCAUAAGUUUUUAUUGGUAUUCUAAUUUUAUAAAUUUUGAGAUGUAGGGUUUAUAAUUUCUGUCAUAACUUUCAAGAAAUCAAAAUAAGUUGUUGAUUUUUGAUUUCUUGAGAUUUAAAAGUUACUUUUGAACCCGUUUGACCAAUUUCAUAAAAGCACUUUUUUUAGUUAGAAGAGUUUUUAGCUUUGUUUAAAAGUACUUUUCAAAAUAUAAUGUUUUUAAGAAAUUAGUUUCUUAACAAAAAUUAAGGUAACAGUCUCAAAAAACUCUUUUACAGAAAGUUCAAAAAAGGGUAAAAGCCAUGCUAAACGAGUCAUUAAUAAACUUAAUUUUUUGUUUUUUAAUAAAUUAAAACUUUCUUAAUAAUAAUUAUGGCGAACAUAGUGUCUUAGAUAAAUAACUAAUAUUAUUAAAUAUUGAUACAUAAAAAAUAUCAUUAUAAUCAAUAUUCAGCUAAUGAUGAUAUAAAUGCAUAACAAUUAAAUACUUUUGUUUACUUAACACUCCUAUGUUGAUUUCGAAACUUUUAUAUAGAACAUUUAAUUAGGUGUUCUCUUAACUCAUUACGACUCGACAGGGGCGGACUCACAUGGGGUCAUGUGAGGUCAAAUGACCCCACACUUUUCUGGAUUUUUUUUUUUUUUUGCUGAAAACUUAAUUUUCUGUCCCAAAAAGUCCAAAUUCUAAAUUUAUAUCCAUAUCAUAUAGCCCAUAUCCAUUAUUUAGUCUAUAAAUAUAUCACAAAAUUCACCGAUUUCUUCCCAAAGUGCAAAUAUCGAAUAUGAACAGCAAACAACCGAUUUUUCUUUUUUGUUUAUGAUACGUUGUUCGAAAAUUUUUUUUUUUGACCCUACAGUUCGAAUAGUCUGAAUCCGCCCUUGCUUCUCGAGUAUAGUUAAAGUCAACUACACUAUAAUCUACCGUUAAAAUAAAAAUAAAUAUAGACACAAAAUGAGUUGGGAUAUAAAAGAAUGAUAAUGAUGGUCGAGGGAGGCCGUCGACGUCUUCACCGUGGAUUUUCAAGCAGUGGGACAUGGCAAAAUGGGAAUUAAAAUAUCUUUAUUUUCUACUAUUUUAAAAUAUAAUUUUAUUUUAUAAACACCAAAAUAAAAUAUAUAAAAUAAGAUAAGAGUCCAAGUUGCUUAGUCCAAAUAGUUAUUUUUUCCUUUAAGCGGCAUGCACAUAUUUGGUUGAAUGCUUUUAUAUCCCCAAAGCGCCCACACAAUUUUUCAAGCCCCUCAAAUCGCUGCGCGCCCCAGUUUGGCUUCUUAGAGCACGCGAGAAACUGCGUGAAGAGGUAAAAAUCCCAGUAAAAAUUGCUCAUAUUUUGUGCAAAACCCAUUCUUAAUCAAUAUAUGUAACAUAUGUACGAGUGGAUCCCAUCUCGGAAUUGCAAAUUUCUCAGUUACAAUCACAAAAGCCGAGUCAGGAAAUUUUUUUUUUUUUUUUUAAUCAUUGUUCGAUUUUCUAAGACUAUUUUCGAUGUUCUUAGUGACAAUUCUUCCUUAAACCGUGUAUUUGGCGCUCAUUCAUCUAACCGAAGGUUACUUUUCGUUCUUCCCUAAUUAUACUUCUUUAGAACUUUAUUUAUAACUGGUAUUUUUAAUUUGAUCUGCCUGUAGGUAUAUAAGUUUAGGUAAAAAAACUGGUUAGAGAUGUAAAGCUUUAAACUUUAUUUUGUUAUUUUUACACGUCAGUUUUCCUCAGUUUAUUUGGGUUAUCAAAAUAAAUUGUUUUUUUGUUAAUCAAAUUCUUGUAGCUCAUAAUGCAGUGGUUUUCUUUUUUGAUUUUAAUUUUAAUGAAAUCGUAUUUUGUGGGUUUCGACCCGGAUCGUUUUGUGGUUAAGACAAUGAAAAUGUGAUAGCAUCACUAACAAGUGGCAAGUAUAUGAAUUUACAUCAUGGUACGAGUAAUGAGUUACUGAGUUAGUGCAAUUCAAUUGUUACCUCGAUCAAUUUGGGUUUAUGGCUGAGUUUUCGUGCAAAGAAGUAUUACUCUUUUUAUCAAAUUAGAGGCACUUUUGAUUGCACAAUAUUAUAUUCAUUAAUCACUCCAAAACCUUUCAUUUCCAUGUGAACAUUAUUUUCACCAUGAGUACGUUCACCCACUCUUGAUCAAACAUAUGAAGUGGGUUUGAUUAGCUUCUCACAACAAUCAGAUUUUCGGCGAGGCAUAAUUAAAGGUUUUUAUACGUUCUCAAGGCAUAAUUAAAGGUUUUUAUGCCUUCUCGUAGGCAUUAAAAGUUAUUUGGGAAUUGUUUCAAGAACAUGUGUAUUCUCCUCGUUUUUUUGGGUAGAAUAUAAAAAUUUCCUUUUUCUCUUUUGAUAUCUCUGGACGGAUUAAAUUAGUUUCUUUAAUCUCAAGAAACAUUUUAAAAUAUUUUAUGCCCGUGUUAAUUUUUCCUUUUUAUAAAAUGUAGGAUACAGUAAUUGGUGUUUUUGAUUCUAUGUCCUAAGAGAGAUUAAAUUAUUUAAUCUGCAAGAAUAUGAAUACUACUCCUAACAGAAGGUCACAUGAGGAUGGUGGCAAUGGUAGUGGCAAUGUGGGCAGUGGUGGAAGUCAUAGUCACUCCUCUGCUUUGAAAUACCCACAUGAAGACCAUGGCACGCUCUCUAGUGUUGGCGGGAAGGUGACAGCAUCAGCUAGGCAGGAGUACCAUGCUCCAUAUGAUAUGGGUCAGGAUGCUCGGAUGCCUAAGAUUAUGCCACGAAAUGAGUCGCGUGAUAUGGACAGGAGAUUGCCUUUGCUUCCAAAUAUGUUGUUCAGGGUAUCAUCGUCAUCAAAUGAAUCACUUUCUGAUCAUGUUAUUGGUUCAGAAAGCAGGCUGGAACGGAGGGAUUCCAAAGACUGUGACAAGGAUAUUAAGGUUGAGAACCGUGAUGUUAUAGCUGAACCAAGGGGUUUGCACCAGAGUGGUAAAGGUGAUAACAAUGUGAAACAUGAAAGCCGAGUUGAUGAAAGUAAAGAUGCAAAGCAUGAAAGGGGGGAUGCUUUUCCGGAACAUGAUGGUGACAUUAGUCUGGAUAAGGAGGGUUUGAAUGGAUCUAAUAGUCGCUUGAACUGGAAAGAUUCUAAAGAACAUCAUGGAAAACAGUAUCCUGAUGCCCCUGGAGGAAGUGUGGACCCCUGGCAUUCCUCGCGUACAAACAUGCAUGGCCCAAUUGAAGCUAGAAAGGAAGUCUCAAAUGUUGAGGACAGGGACUUUGCUGAAGCUCAUGAAGCUGUUGGAGAGAACAAGGUUGAUUUGAAAGGGGAUGAUAAGGUUAAAGACAAAGAUAGAAAGAGGAAAGAAGUGAAACACAGGGACUGGGGGGAAAGGGAAAGAGAAAGAGGUGAUCGUCGGAACAACUUGCAACUGGAAAGUAGCAGUGGCGAGAACAAAGAGGUAUUAAGGGAAGAUAGAGAGUCUGAAAGGUGGGGGAAUGAAAAGAAAGAUCCUGCGAAAGACAAAGAAAAACUGAAUGACAGGGCAAAGGAUUAUGUGAAGAGGGAAGUAUUGAAUGGAGGAGAGAAAGAGGCUUCCCACAAUGAGAAAAAACCAAUGGAGAUUUCUGGAAGAUCAUCGGAACAGGAAAAUUUGACACUAGAACAGAAGAAACAGAAAGAUCAUGAUAGCUGGAAGAACAUUGACAGGGGCACGAGAGACAGAAAGAAGGAAAGGGAAUUCGACAUAGAAGCCGAGAGACCUGAUAAACGCAGUAGGUAUCAUGAAAAAGAAUCAGAGGAAGGGGGUAUUGAUGAUGAAGGGAGUACAGAAAGGGAAAUAGAGGCUUUUAACAGUGGUAUCCAGCAGCGAAAGAGGAUGCUUCGGCCGAGGGGCAGCCCUCAAAUGGGAAAUCGUGAACCUCGUUUUAGGUCCCGCAGCCAAGAUAUUGAAGGGUAUGACUUUCCAUUUGUUGAAUGAAGAAUUAGUUUUUAAGGGGUUUAGUUAUUAUGAUUAGAUCGUUUCAUGAUUUCUUCAUGCGCUUUUAUAUUUAUUUGGGUUUAUGCAUUUACUAUCUUGCCAAUUAGGCCCAUAUUGUUUCCAUUUUUUCGUAUCUAAGUAGCUGUUAGUGAUAUGUAAGUGUACUUUAAAUUUGAAGUUUUGCUUUGUCCAAAAUAAGUUAUGCUCGGUUAUAGCAAAAGUAUGUUGAAACUCUUUCAGAUUUUAUUGGUUUAAGCAUAAUCUUGGAGUCAUUUUUUGUUUUUUGUGUUUCAUGAUUGUGAAACCAUGAUCAUGUGCACUUCUUUUCAUAUUUUUGACAUGUCCAUUUCAUUGCAAAAUGCGAAGGGGGAACAUAGCAUAUAAGAUGUACAUAAAACAGAUGAUAUCUAUCAACCUAUGAUUUUAAUAUAAAUUUUCCGUAUGCUGUUCAAAGUUAAAAAUUAGGAACUUUUAUCUCGUAUCCAAUUUCUUUCCAAAAAUCUCAAAAAAUUGUGAAUGGUCGCUUAGCUCAAUUCUGUACUUCAUAUUUCUUUGAUCUUUGACUGGUGAUGUUUGAGUCUUAUGAUAGGGAUUCCAAGAAUUCAUGUGUCAAAUGUACUAUAUUUCAUUGGUACACUGGUAAAGAUGUCAUCAAGCAGUAAAUAGGGCAUGAAUUGCUGUUUUGUUUAUACACCAUAACCUUCCAUAAAAAUCUAAGAUCUCAUGCACAUGGGAGUUUAUCUCCAUUAGAAUUCCUAUUUUGAUGUCAGAAUAUGGUAACUUGACAAGUUUCUCUAGUGUCUAUGAGGAAGUUUUGGACCGUUGGCCCGAAUGACUGCAGUAUCUAUCCCUUUACAUUUUUUAUACUAUAUGCAGUUAAAACAUUAUAAAAUGUAUUUGUUACUUUUUGUUAUGCACAUUACAAGAUACACUUUUGAAACCAGUGCUGCUUCUAAUUCAUUGCCUCUGUUUCACAUGGUUUUACCAUAGGAAAAGUGACUUUUACUUUUUUUCUUUUUCUUUUUCUUUUUUUUUUUUUUGGUGGGAUUCAAACUUGAGACCUUUUGCCUUAGCCUUAGUCCUUUUACCAUUGAACAAAGACCUCAGAUACUCAUUUUUGAGGCGCCCAAAGACAAUGUCUUUUGGAAAUUAAACUACACCAUACUAAAUGCAAUCGUUAAAUAUUUAGAGAUAUAAGCUAAGGAGUUGAGAUGAUAUGAACUUACCUUAAUUUUUGAAGUAAAACUUGCGCUAACUCAGUAUUUCCUUAUUCAGAUACUACACAUAGUACUUCACAUAAGCAUAGAUUUGAUUCCUAGAGUUGAGGUGUUUCAAUGUUUCAUGCUAUGAAAUUGGAUGUAGUCAUAAUGUUUUCUCUCUAGGAGUUUCGCUUGAACUUUCUUGGCACUCUCAAAAGCUUGAAGAAAGUGUAGAAGUGGAAAAUAAUAGAACGAAAAUCAUUAUAAAAGCACUAAAAUUAUGAUGUCCAUUACUGUUUGCCAUCAAUAUAGUAACGGGCACAUUAUGAUUUGGUAACAAAAUUAAAUGUCUCGGGAAAAAGUUGCAGUUUGCAUUAAAUGAGUAGGGUCCUUUUAUUUCCCUCAUUGAAUAAGGACGCGUAUCAUUAUCUCAGAAAGAGGCUCCUUAAGACAGCUGCUUGCAGAUUGAGAGUUCUAGUCUGAAUCGCUCAAAAGGGCUUAGGGUCUUUUGCAUAUUGCGACUGCAACUCCCUGUUUCUCUGAGCAACAUUAUGCACGAGCAAGUUUAUAUUCUCCGUCCCCAUGGAAUGUUUAAAUAGUUGUGAUUUUUGGUGUGUAGUACUCAUGCUCUUCAUGAUUCUUCAUUUUGCUCUUUAAAAUGUCAGAAAAUUGGAGCUGCUCUCCGACCCGACCAUUCAAUUCUAUUGAAUGGAGUCAGGGUCGUUCCUUAAGGCAGCCAAAGCGAGCCCCUUUAUUUUGAAUUCGUUAAUUCAGAAUAUCUAUGUAUCGUAAGUGACCAUAGAAACUUCUAGGGACUCCCAGUCUAUGGAAGAUUGGGGGUUAGAACAAAAGUUAAAGGAACAGAAGAGCCAUACCCUCUUUCUUUCGAUUACUUUCAGGGUACUCACAUAGCCAAUUUUCCAUUUUUGAUAGAAGGUGCUGCCUUUGGUACUACUCUUAUCUGAUGUACAAUAGAAACAUUUGAGUCUUCAAUUUGGACUUUUUUGCCAUUUUUUUCAUCUGUGAAUUGUUAAUAAGGAGGGGUGGGGGAGAAGGGUUGCAUUAGUAAGUCUGUUUAUAAAUUACAGUGAUCUGCCUUCAAACGUUGUAGUUUCUCAUACUUAUCAACUAAUUCUUAGAUUAGUUAAAUGACUUUUACUUUUGCUUCUUGAGUUCAAGCAUAUCUAGGAGUUGCUAAUCCGAAUGAAGAAAAUGUUCAAUGUGAAAGUAGCUUUGUUUUUCCUUUUUUCCCCCCUACUAUUUUUACUUUUCUUGUUUUCAUCGAAGUAUAGAUAUCACAGUUUAUAAAAAUGAAAGGGAAUGAUAAUUGGCGAUUGGUAAUAUGUGAUUUAUCUUAUUAGUAUGUGCGAAUAAUUUUGAGUUUUCCCUUUUCCCGGAUAGUAGUGUCAUUUAACCAUUCACUGGAGAAAGAAUGGUUAUUACAUUUAUGUGCCACAUGUCCAUCCCGAAUGGCAAAACAUGGACAAGUCCUUGUGUACUUUUUGCCACUUCACGUUCUCUUAAGUUGUAGCUUUCCUUUCUUUCUUCUUACAUAAGAUUCAUUUAUUGUUGUUAUAAUCUGGAUAAAUCUGCAUAUCUUUUGAAUUACGCCAUGAUAUUUUAUUAACUAAUAAGAGCAUUUAAUAUAUUCUGAUUCUUGAGUAGUCCAUAUUAAUUGCUAUAUUAUGUUAUUUUGAUGCUGGGAAAAAUAAUGGCCUGCUACAUUUUUGGAUAUUGUUCUUCAUCACUUCAGUGCAAAGUUGGGUAAUAUGAUUUAUUAGGAGAACUUUCCUUGAUUGGGGUUGAAAUGAUGGGCUUAACCAUUUUAUGUUUCAAUUUUAUGCAGGUCACAAGGUAAGCUGUCAAUUCAUGUCCAGCCGGAACUCUUAUUUGGUUAUUAUUAGACAGGAAGUUCUUUCUCUUCACUUGUUUGGUAUUAGCUGAAUUUACAAUUACUGAACAUUAUUAUUAAAUUAUACACAAUAUUCAUUGGCUGUGACGUAAAUCUUAUGUUUGUGAUACUGUAUGAAUCAUUGUUCUUUAUCAAGGACGUGAUAUUUGACGAAGUCUUCAUUUUCACAAUAUUAUUUUGAAAUUAGAAUAGGAACUUUCUCAAAUGAGAUAAUUGUAAUCUGGAAGAAUGCUGGAUCCAGAGGUUCUGUAUGAAAAUGUUUGUUAAGAUGUAGCUCUCUAAUGCAUAUAAUUCACCUGCCUUUUAAUUUUGUGCAACUAACUAUAUGGUUCCUGUUAAUGUUAUUGGCCUUGCAAAAUGCUUAUUGCUGCCUUCUGAAUUUGUUGUGUGGAACAUCCUUUUCAGUUUGCUUUGCCCUUGGGACUUGUAAUUGAUAUUUCAUUCUACAUGGACAAAUAGUCUUACAAAGUGCUGCUUGUUGCCUUCUAUCAGCUGUCUGGAAUAUGAUUUUUCAGUUUGCUUUGCUCUUGGGACGUGUAAUUGUUAUUUCAUUCUACAUUUUCAACUGGUCUUGCAAAAUGCUGCUUGUUGUCUUCCGGUUCAUGCCUUUUCAGCUUGCUUUGCCCUAGGGUUAUGUAUUUGUGUUAUUUCAUUGUACGUUAUUUCAUUUAUUUGUGUUAUUUCAUUGUACGUUUACUUUUUUCUUCGGACUUUAUAUUUAUUAGUUUUAAUUGACUUGAUUAUAUGUUUUGACUUUGUGAAUGAUUACUUCUUGUGGGGAUAGAAGUCUUUUCACUCACAUGGUUCGUUUCCAAUCUAACCACUACUUUAUAUGGAAUUUCUCCGUGCCUAAUGUCCACAUUUCAACAUUGCUGCCUCUUCUUGACAAGAACUUUGAUUUCAUGUGCUGCUGUUUAAGCUGUGUAAAAGCUCUUCAUGGAUGCUGUGUCCCUUCUUUUAGUUGCAUUUGUUUUUUUCUUUGGACUUGUGUCUAGAUUAAAUCAUUCAUGUUAUCACAAUCUUAAUUUCUGUGCCAAAAAGUAUAUAAGAAAGUUUAUUAUACUAUGAUGAGUACACUUUUGGGUAAAAAUUUUAGUUUGGUUGGUUUAAACCCAUCAUGUGAAAAUAUAUGAUGUCCUACUUUUGUCAGCAAAAGUUGUUUGCAGGUUAUAAAACAUUUUAAACUGCUAUUUUCUAAUUCCUUAUUUUUUAGAUUCAGCAUGAUGUUAGCAUUCAUGUAAUAUGAAAUUUGAAUAUCAACAAUUGCUAGUACUUUGUUGUAACUUAUGUCGACAAAAGAAAAGUUGAAAUUAACUGUUAAUACCGUGUUCAAAAAAUUCACUGAAGCUGCUGACUCCAUAUGUUUUUAGUUUCACAAGUAUUUAAGAAGCUGUCUAAGCAAACCUGUUAGCUUAUUUUGUACCCUUUUCUGUUAAAUGCUCCUUUUGCCUUGUUAUCUCUUGGGGGACUUCUUGAAUUGAUUGCUUGUCUGUCUAGCGGAAUGGACCUGAAAAGUUGAUAGCUCCAGUUAUUGUGUCUUUUCCUAUAGAAUCAAACUAACCUACUUAUUCCAAAGUUAUUGAAUUUCCAGGUUUUGAUUUAGCAUAGAAGGGUAAAAUUUUAAUGAGGGGAGUUUGCGUUGUGUAAUAUAGUUUCUGACAUCCCACCCUUUGGACAAGAAAGAGCAAAUGUCCAAUGGGAUUAAAUUUGGUGGCAUAUCGAGUCCCAAAUGUUUAUGAAGUUAUAAUUUAUUUGAUGACUAUUUAUCAAUUUCUAGUUGACAUUUUUGGGACGUAUGGUCUCAAGUAAGCAUCAGCAUUUACUUUAUAUGGCUGUGAUAAGAAUCUUAAUAGCUUUCCACUCUGGAAUAUGUGCUUUAAGGCCAUAUAUAAAUCUCAUCAUAUUGAUUGCCAUAAUUCUGAGAACGUAUAUUUAAAUAUUUGAUUUUCUUCAAGAAAAUAAUUAGAAAAACACGCAUAUAUCCUAAAACUGGUCUUUUAAGCUAAAUCAAAAAUCAUUCUCAUGAUAUAGAUAGAGCUACUGGUUUUCACAAAUGAUUUAGUUACUAAUUGGGAAAUCUUCAUCAUAAUAACGUUUUUGAUGAAGCUGUGAUGUUACUAUACAGGUAAGGCUGAUAUGUCUUGUGUCGUUUACAAAAUUGGUGGAUGCAUGCAAGAACUGUUGAAGUUGUGGAAGGAAUUUCAAUCCUCACAAGCUGAUGGAACAUGUGAAAUCUCUCAAAAUGCUCCUACCCUAGAAAUCCGGAUACCAG
Molecule: long non-coding RNA, 18944 nt
Filed under: Olea europaea (common olive)
Lineage: Eukaryota; Viridiplantae; Streptophyta; Magnoliopsida; Lamiales; Oleaceae
Description: long non-coding RNA (OEUR_LNC000644)
Source: RNAcentral